This 76-nucleotide transfer RNA is filed under the name Magnetococcales bacterium. RNAcentral's name for it is "tRNA-Ala". It matches the Rfam family "tRNA". From Rfam's summary of the family: Transfer RNA (tRNA) molecules are approximately 80 nucleotides in length. Their secondary structure includes four short double-helical elements and three loops (D, anti-codon, and T loops). The record is from RNAcentral. Lineage: Bacteria; Pseudomonadati; Pseudomonadota; Magnetococcia; Magnetococcales.
GGGGCUAUAGCUCAGCUGGGAGAGCGCAUCGCUGGCAGCGAUGAGGUCAGCGGUUCGAUCCCGCUUAGCUCCACCA